RNAcentral lists this ribosomal RNA (557 nucleotides) under uncultured bacterium. Its description in RNAcentral is "partial 16S ribosomal RNA". It matches the Rfam family "Bacterial small subunit ribosomal RNA", at positions 355 to 905 of the family's 1533-position model. The record is from RNAcentral.
UGGGGAAUUUUGGACAAUGGGCGAAAGCCUGAUCCAGCAAUGCCGCGUGUGUGAAGAAGGCCUUCGGGUUGUAAAGCACUUUUGUCCGGAAAGAAAUCCUUGGCUCUAAUACAGUCGGGGGAUGACGGUACCGGAAGAAUAAGCACCGGCUAACUACGUGCCAGCAGCCGCGGUAAUACGUAGGGUGCAAGCGUUAAUCGGAAUUACUGGGCGUAAAGCGUGCGCAGGCGGUUUGCUAAGACCGAUGUGAAAUCCCCGGGCUCAACCUGGGAACUGCAUUGGUGACUGGCAGGCUAGAGUAUGGCAGAGGGGGGUAGAAUUCCACGUGUAGCAGUGANUGCGUAGAGAUGUGGAGGAAUACCGAUGGCGAAGGCAGCCCCCUGGGCCAAUACUGACGCUCAUGCACGAAAGCGUGGGGAGCAAACAGGAUUAGAUACCCUGGUAGUCCACGCCCUAAACGAUGUCAACUAGUUGUUGGGGAUUCAUUUCCUUAGUAACGUAGCUAACGCGUGAAGUUGACCGCCUGGGGGAGUACGGUCGCAAGAUUAAAACUCAAA